CCUACGGGCGGCAGCAGUGAGGAAUAUUGGUCAAUGGACGCGAGCCUGAACCAGCCAAGUAGCGUGAAGGAUGACUGCCCUCCGGGUUGUAAACUUCUUUUAUAAAGGAAUAAAGUGAGGCACGUGUGCCUUUUUUUAUGUAUUUCAUGAAUAAGGAUAGGCUAACUCCGUGCCAGCAGCCGCGGUAAUACGGAGGAUCCGAGCGUUUUCCGGAUUUAUUGGGUUUAAAGGGAGCGUAGAUGGUUUGUUAAGUCAGUUGUGAAAGUUUGCGGCUCAACCGUAAAAUUGCAAUUGAUACUGGCAGUCUUGAGUACAGUUGGGGUAGGCGGAAUUCGUGGUGUAGCGGUGAAAUGCUUAGAUAUCACGAAGAACUCCGAUUGCGAAGGCAGCUUACUAAGCUGCCACUGACAUUGAUGCUCGAAAGUGUGGGUAUCAAACAGGAUUAGAUACCCGAGUAGUC
RNAcentral lists this ribosomal RNA (460 nucleotides) under uncultured bacterium. Its description in RNAcentral is "partial 16S ribosomal RNA". It matches the Rfam family "Bacterial small subunit ribosomal RNA", at positions 338 to 795 of the family's 1533-position model. The record is from RNAcentral.